GGCUUUAUUUUAAUUGUUUUGAAAACAAUUUUUAAGAAUUUUCUUUAAAGUGU
Molecule: transfer RNA, 53 nt
Filed under: Lycosa sp.
Lineage: Eukaryota; Metazoa; Arthropoda; Arachnida; Araneae; Lycosidae
Description: tRNA-Ser
Source: RNAcentral